GAGAUGUGGAGGAACACCAGUGGAGAAGGCGGGUCUCUGUUGUGUAUCUCACGCUGAGGCGCGAGAGAGUGGGGAGCGAACAGGAUUAGAUACCCUGGUAGUGCACGCCGUAAACGAUGAGUGCUAAGUGUGAGAGGGGUUAAUCCCUUCAGUGCUGUAGCUAACGCACUAAGCACUCCGCCCGGGGGGUACGCUCGCAAGAGUGAGAAUCAAAAAAAAAAACGGGGGGCCGCACACGCGGUGGAGCAUGUGGUGUAAUUCGAAGCAACGCGAAGAACCUUACCAGGUGUUGACAUCCCCUGACAACCCGAGAGAUGAGGGGUUCCCCUUCGGGGGACAGGGUGACAGGUGGUGCAUGGUUGUCGUCAGCUCGUGUCGUGAGAUGUUGGGUUAAGUCCCGCAACGAGCGCAACCCUUGACCUUAGUUGCCAGCAUUGAGUUGGGCACUCUAAGGUGACUGCCGCUGACAAAUCGGAGGAAGGUGGGGAGGACGUCAAAUCAUCAUGCCCCUUAUGACCUGGGCUACACACGUGCUACAAUGGGCGGUACAAAGGGGUGCGAACCCGCGAGGGGGAGCGAAUCCCAAAAAACCGCUCUCAGUUCGGAUUGCAGGGUGCAACUCGCCUGCAUGAAGCCGGAAUAGCUAGUAAUCGCGGAUCAGCAUGCCGCGGUGAAUACGUUCCCGGGCCUUGUACACACCGCCCGUCACACCACGAGAGUUUGCAACACC
This 730-nucleotide ribosomal RNA is filed under the name Anoxybacteroides tepidamans. RNAcentral's name for it is "Anoxybacillus tepidamans partial 16S ribosomal RNA". It matches the Rfam family "Bacterial small subunit ribosomal RNA", at positions 693 to 1421 of the family's 1533-position model. The record is from RNAcentral. Lineage: Bacteria; Bacillati; Bacillota; Bacilli; Caryophanales; Anoxybacillaceae.